Molecule: unclassified non-coding RNA, 202 nt
Filed under: Hevea brasiliensis (rubber tree)
Lineage: Eukaryota; Viridiplantae; Streptophyta; Magnoliopsida; Malpighiales; Euphorbiaceae
Source: RNAcentral
GCGCUGCAGAUGUCUUGAGAUAGAGAACGCCGCCUCCCAAGUCAGGUUGGUCACGAUCACCUUGGAUGAAGUCAAGGCGAGCCUCGUUCUCGUAAAAGCAAGCUCCUUUCCACUGAAUAGAGCCAUUUUUGGGAGACACCGAUCCAACGAAAUACGGCAACAAAUCAACAGCACCAUGAAAAUUGUUCAGUACAGGCCAUGA